AAAACACAUGAAGCAAACCAAAAAUGAAAUGCUUUUGUCAGGAGUUCAUAAGCUUGAAUCACUGCUCUUUUACCAUAUAUCAACUACAAUGUUGAAAUAUAUUAGAGAAACUGCAUAUUGAUGUAGGUAUUUGUGGAAUGUACCAAUGUACCAUAACUAAAUAGUUAAUCCAUGUUGUAAUAUUAACAUUUAACGCCAUCAGAGUCCCGGGAGUUACGCAGUGCUAGGGCUGAACGUCUAAUAAAUGACCAAACUUAGAGAGCAUAAUAUAGAAAUAUCAGAAAUCUCUGCGGGGUGUACCACAUAACAUCAGCCAAUAAGAUGAGGGGAGAUAAUUUCACUCAGUUAGGAAUCUUCUAGGCAAAACAUAGCCUACUUUGCGGCGGAGUUACGCAGGGUUUCCUGUUAUUUUACGGCGAUUCUCGUCCGUUCUCGUCGGAAAGAAACCAAGUUUGACAAGAUGGAGGAUUCAGAAGAUGAUUUUAACAAAACUAUUUGGCCAGUCUACAACCAAGGUGGAGUGAGGGGAGAGGAUCAUGAAGGGACCCCGGCUCCUUCAGUUCACACCCAGAGGGCGCCAUUGCAUCUGACAAAGCCGUGGAUCGAGUCGGAUGAGGCCUGGAUUCUGGAGGCGUCUGCGAGGGGUCGCCUCAACAGGUAAGCAAGCAGUUCCAGUUCAAGUUGCGUCAAAGCACUCCAAUAACAGAACCAUCAGCUCCACGCCCACAAGAGGAGCUUUCUAGACCACUUUUGUAUCGUUGAAAACGAGUUCCUCAGUGAAACAAAAAUGCAGAACAGAUAAUCGAGUUACCUGCAUCCAGCUCUGCGGUCUGACUUUACCCCAUCAGUGCUAUAUCUCACCGUUGUACAUUCACAGAUGGGGCCGUUUCAACGAAUGCCCUCGCGGUCAUUAGGUUUGGUGUUUUUUUAAAGACGCCUCAAAUGUUUAAUAUUUUUCAAUUCGAUCAAUAAAUAUGUAAUUUGUAAUUCUAUAUAUAACAAAGUGAGUAGCUUUGACAACUUCACAACUCCCUGCUUCUAUUUUAAAACAACUUUAGCAGAGUUAAACCAUAUAACUCACGAUGGUCGACGCAUCCAAUGGCACUUGCGUGAUCCCAGUCCUUCCCGUUACCAAAGGACUGUUCUAAAGAUGCCUCGCCCUGUGUGCGUGUCAGUGUAACCUAGUUCAAGGAACAUCAGGUACCCAAGCAUGCUGCUGCAGCAGCUGCAGAUGGGAGGAUCCUCUUGAGGUACCGCUCGUACACUUCAAGGGCGCAGCUGAAGG
Gadus macrocephalus (Pacific cod) is the source of this 1285-nucleotide long non-coding RNA. RefSeq lists it as uncharacterized. The transcript is spliced from 3 exons. The record is from RefSeq and is a predicted model, not a curated record. NCBI's taxonomy places the organism in Eukaryota, Metazoa, Chordata, Actinopteri, Gadiformes, Gadidae.